UACGUAGGCAGCGAGCGUUGUUCGGAGUUACUGGGCGUAAAGGGUGUGUAGGCGGUUUUCUAAGUUUGGUGUGAAAUCUCCCGGCUUAACCGGGAGGGUGCGCCGAAAACUGGGAGACUAGAGUGUGGUAGGGGAGACUGGAAUUCCUGGUGUAGCGGUGAAAUGCGCAGAUAUCAGGAGGAACACCGGUGGCGAAGGCGGGUCUCUGGGCCAUAACUGACGCUGAGGAGCGAAAGCGUGGGGAGCGAACAGG
RNAcentral lists this ribosomal RNA (253 nucleotides) under uncultured bacterium. Its description in RNAcentral is "partial 16S ribosomal RNA". It matches the Rfam family "Bacterial small subunit ribosomal RNA", at positions 524 to 776 of the family's 1533-position model. The record is from RNAcentral.